GCCUGUGUAGCUCAGACGGGUAGAGCAUCAGACUUUUAAUCUGAGGGUCCAGGGUUCAAGUCCCUGUUGAGGCA
Archocentrus centrarchus (flier cichlid) is the source of this 74-nucleotide non-coding RNA. NCBI's taxonomy places the organism in Eukaryota, Metazoa, Chordata, Actinopteri, Cichliformes, Cichlidae. The record is from the annotation of a RefSeq genome assembly.